Corapipo altera (White-ruffed manakin) is the source of this 538-nucleotide long non-coding RNA. RefSeq lists it as uncharacterized. The transcript has 4 exons. The record is from RefSeq and is a predicted model, not a curated record. NCBI's taxonomy places the organism in Eukaryota, Metazoa, Chordata, Aves, Passeriformes, Pipridae.
UGGGGGAGCAUCGGGACCUCUCUGUCCGCAUUGUCAGCUCGGGUUUCUUGGCGGUUCUUGGCCUGAUGAGUAGCUUCCAGGAAAUGCAUCUAAUAGGAAUGACUAAGUGAGGCAAAUGGAAUGUCAGCUGGGGUGGCUGCUGGUCAGACUUCACCCUUUGGAGGCCUGGCAAGCUCAGAUGCAGCACUCCAGAGAUGCAGGCUCAGACGUGGCUGCUUACGAGAAGCAAAUAGCUCUGCACAAGGAAGGGCACCCAGAGGAGAGAAGGAAAAUACCUGCUUGCAUUGUUUCACAAGUGCAUUCCCAGGUGAGGAGACACUGGAAGGUGAGCAGAGCAGAAGGGAGGGUUCCAAGUUAUCUGGGAAGAGUUGGACAGUAGAGAGGUCCCUGUAGCAUCAACGUGUGUCCCAGAAAUGCUGCCCAUGGUCCCCAGCCCUCAGACCUCCCACUGCAAACACUGCUGCCUCCCACUGCUGACUUGUGCAGAGCAGGCAGUUGUUUUUAUUUGCUUGCUGCUCCAAAUGCGUUUUUCUUCACA